AUGCUCGCUUUAGAAGCACAUAUACUAAUAUUGGACCGAUACAGAGAAGAUUAGCAUGGCCCCUGCUCAAGGAUGACAUGCAAAUCUGUGAAGCGUUCCAUUAAAAA
Gorilla gorilla gorilla (western lowland gorilla) is the source of this 107-nucleotide small nuclear RNA. NCBI's taxonomy places the organism in Eukaryota, Metazoa, Chordata, Mammalia, Primates, Hominidae. The record is from Ensembl.